RNAcentral lists this ribosomal RNA (497 nucleotides) under uncultured bacterium. RNAcentral's name for it is "partial 16S ribosomal RNA". It matches the Rfam family "Bacterial small subunit ribosomal RNA", at positions 28 to 507 of the family's 1533-position model. The record is from RNAcentral.
GAUGAACGCUGGCGGCGUGCCUAAUACAUGCAAGUAGAACGCUGAAGCUUGGUGCUUGCACCGAGCGGAUGAGUUGCGAACGGGUGAGUAACGCGUAGGUAACCUGCCUCUUAGCGGGGGAUAACUAUUGGAAACGAUAGCUAAUACCGCAUAAAAGUCGAUAUCGCAUGAUAUUGAUUUGAAAGGUGCAAAUGCAUCACUAAGAGAUGGACCUGCGUUGUAUUAGCUAGUUGGUGAGGUAACGGCUCACCAAGGCGACGAUACAUAGCCGACCUGAGAGGGUGAUCGGCCACACUGGGACUGAGACACGGCCCAGACUCCUACGGGAGGCAGCAGUAGGGAAUCUUCGGCAAUAGGGGCAACCCUGACCGAGCAACGCCGCGUGAGUGAAGAAGGUUUUCGGAUCGUAAAGCUCUGUUGUAAGAGAAGAACGAGUGUGAGAGUGGAAAGUUCACACUGUGACGGUAACUUACCAGAAAGGGACGGCUAACUACGUG